RNAcentral lists this ribosomal RNA (251 nucleotides) under uncultured bacterium. Its description in RNAcentral is "partial 16S ribosomal RNA". It matches the Rfam family "Bacterial small subunit ribosomal RNA", at positions 103 to 354 of the family's 1533-position model. The record is from RNAcentral.
CUGGUGAGUAACGCGUGAGGAACCUACCUUCUAGAGGGGGACAACAGUUGGAAACGACUGCUAAUACCGCAUGAUACAUUUGAAUCGCGUGGUUUGAAUGUCAAAGAUUUAUCGCUGGAAGAUGGCCUCGCGUCUGAUUAGCUAGUUGGUGAGGUAACGGCCCACCAAGGCGACGAUCAGUAGCCGGACUGAGAGGUUGGCCGGCCACAUUGGGACUGAGAUACGGCCCAGACUCCUACGGAAGGCAGCAG